RNAcentral lists this ribosomal RNA (253 nucleotides) under uncultured bacterium. RNAcentral's name for it is "partial 16S ribosomal RNA". It matches the Rfam family "Bacterial small subunit ribosomal RNA", at positions 524 to 776 of the family's 1533-position model. The record is from RNAcentral.
UACGCAGGGGGCUAGCGUUGCUCGGAAUCACUGGGCGUAAAGGGUGCGUAGGCGGGUCUUUAAGUCAGGGGGGAAAUCCUGGAGCUCAACUCCAGAACUGCCUUUGAUACUGAGAGGCUCGAGUCCGGGAGAGGUGAGUGGAACUGCGAGUGUAGAGGUGAAAUUCGUAGAUAUUCGCAAGAACACCAGUGGCGAAGGCGGCUCACUGGCCCGGUACUGACGCUGAGGUGCGAAAGCGUGGGGAGCAAACAGG